UAGGGAAUCUUCCGCAAUGGACGAAAGUCUGACGGAGCAACGCCGCGUGAGUGAAGAAGGAUUUCGGUUCGUAAAACUCUGUUGUUAGGGAAGAAAAAAUGUAUAGUAACUAUAUACAAAAGAGACGGUACCUAACCAGAAAGCCACGGCUAACUACGUGCCAGCAGCCGCGGUAAUACGUAGGUGGCAAGCGUUGUCCGGAAUUAUUGGGCGUAAAGCGCGCGCAGGUGGUUUAGAAAGUCUGAUGUGAAAGCCCACGGCUCAACCGUGGAGGGUCAUUGGGAACUAAUAAACUUGAGUGCAGGAGAGAAAAGUGGAAUUCCUAGUGUAGCGGUGAAAUGCGUAGAGAUUAGGAGGAACACCGGUGGCGAAAGCGGCUUUUUGGCCUGCAACUGACACUGAGGCGCGAAAGCGUGGGGAGCAAACAGG
RNAcentral lists this ribosomal RNA (429 nucleotides) under Verrucomicrobiota bacterium. Its description in RNAcentral is "Verrucomicrobia bacterium partial 16S ribosomal RNA". It matches the Rfam family "Bacterial small subunit ribosomal RNA", at positions 355 to 776 of the family's 1533-position model. Lineage: Bacteria; Pseudomonadati; Verrucomicrobiota. The record is from RNAcentral.